GUAGGGAAUCUUCCACAAUGGACGAAAGUCUGAUGGAGCAACGCCGCGUGAGUGAAGAAGGGUUUCGGCUCGUAAAACUCUGUUGUUAAAGAAGAACAUAUCUGAGAGUAACUGUUCAGGUAUUGACGGUAUUUAACCAGAAAGCCACGGCUAACUACGUGCCAGCAGCCGCGGUAAUACGUAGGUGGCAAGCGUUGUCCGGAUUUAUUGGGCGUAAAGCGAGCGCAGGCGGUUUUUUAAGUCUGAUGUGAAAGCCUUCGGCUCAACCGAAGAAGUGCAUCGGAAACUGGGAAACUUGAGUGCAGAAGAGGACAGUGGAACUCCAUGUGUAGCGGUGAAAUGCGUAGAUAUAUGGAAGAACACCAGUGGCGAAGGCGGCUGUCUGGUCUGUAACUGACGCUGAGGCUCGAAAGUAUGGGUAGCAAACAGGAUUAGAAACCCUUGUAGUCC
Molecule: ribosomal RNA, 450 nt
Filed under: uncultured bacterium
Lineage: Bacteria
Description: partial 16S ribosomal RNA
Rfam family: Bacterial small subunit ribosomal RNA
Source: RNAcentral